This 602-nucleotide long non-coding RNA is filed under the name Homo sapiens (human). RNAcentral's name for it is "non-protein coding LINC02331:9". Lineage: Eukaryota; Metazoa; Chordata; Mammalia; Primates; Hominidae. The record is from RNAcentral.
AUUUUCUCUGAAACUUCCUCCCUGUCCAGUGUUAUCUACCUUGGAACGAUUGUCUCAUUUAGAGGGACUCUCUAACCUGAGUACACAUUUGAAACAUCUGAGGGCUUUGAAACAUACCUGCUCCUGGACCACCUGCUGAACCAAUUAAAUCAGAAUUUCUGUUGUGAAGAUCUCCACGUGAGUUUAAGCUUUCCUGCUCAACUGUUAGUUCCAUGAAGGCAACAGCCAUGCCUGCUUCGUUCACUGAAAUAUCUUCGUUUCCUAACACACAGAAAGUCAUCAUUUUUUGACGGAUGAAAGAAUGGAUGAAUGCCUAGUCUUGGAGACAUCUACUUGCAAUAAAGGUUAGAUGAAGGAAAUGGAUGCCAGUGGGAGAUUUGUGGAUCUAUUUCACCAGAUUUCACUCUGCUGACUCAGCAAAAUGGUCCCCGAAGAAAGUGAAGAAACAGAGGCAAAGGGAGCAUAAGCAAUUUUCCAAAGGCCAUACAACAUGUAAGUGGCUGAGCCAAGACUGAAAUCACCAGGUUCUUAACCACUAGGCCAUAUUGCAUUGGAGUGUUGCCUCCUGGAGUAAGACUAGGCUAAAAGCUUCAUAGAAACCU